This 400-nucleotide unclassified non-coding RNA is filed under the name uncultured fungus. Its description in RNAcentral is "sequence contains ITS1". The stretch from base 1 to 101 matches the Rfam family "5.8S ribosomal RNA", at positions 50 to 154 of the family's 154-position model. The record is from RNAcentral. Lineage: Eukaryota; Fungi.
GAAAUGCGAUACGUAAUGUGAAUUGCAGAAUUCCGUGAAUCAUCUAAUCUUUGAACGCACAUUGCACUCUCUUUCGGGAGAGUAUGCCUGUUUGAGAAUCUAUAGUAUUCUUUUUCCUAAUCAUGAGCCUAUCUUUUUACUAAGAUAGUGAAUAAUUGAUUAGGAGAGAUUUGAGGUUUCCCUAUUGACUUAGGGUACCUUUAAAUAGAUAACUUUGAAUGGCAAUUUGAUGUUUGAACCUUCAACAUUCAUAGGAACAGUAGUCGAAUAAACCUUUUGGUUUUAACUUUUGCUAAGUACUUUGAUAGGAGAUUAGUCAAUUUGGUAUUGAAGGUCCAUAACCUUGAUAAAGUCAAUUUACGUUGACUUGAACCAUGGUCUCAAAUCAGGUAGGAAGACC